This is a non-coding RNA of Cordylochernes scorpioides, 79 nucleotides long. Lineage: Eukaryota; Metazoa; Arthropoda; Arachnida; Pseudoscorpiones; Chernetidae. The record is from the annotation of a GenBank genome assembly.
CCCUCGAUAGCUCAGUUGGCAGAGUGGAGGACUGUAGAUGUUACAACGCUGAUCGCUGGUUCAAAUCUGGCUCGAGGGA